ACCUAGCUGAUCUCCCUGUGCUAUGCAGCUGCUUCCCACUAGCUAUCUGUUUUAUGUUUGGUAGUGUAUAUAUGUCCAUGCCACUCCCUCACUUUGUCACAGCUUGCCCUUCCCCCUCCCCAUAUCCUCAAGUCCAUUCUCUAGUAGGUCUGUGUCUUUAUUCCUGUCUUACCCCUAGGUUCUUCAUGACAUUUUUUUCUUAAAUUCUGUAUACAUGUGUUAGCAUAUGGUAUUUGUCUUUCUCUUUCUGACUUACUUCACUCUGUAUGACAGACUCUAGGUCCAUCCACCUCAUUACAAAUAGCUCAAUUUUGUUUCUUUUUAUGGCUGAGUAAUAUUCCAUUGUGUAUAUGUGCCACAUGUUCUUUAUCCAUUCAUCCGAUGAUGGACACUUAGGUUGUUUCCAUAUCCUGGCUAUUGUAAAUAGAGCUGCAAUGAACAUUUUGGUACAUGACUCUUGCUGAAUUAUGGUUCUCUCAGGGUAUAUGCCGAGUAGUGGGAUUGCUGGGUCAUAUGGUAGUCCUAUUUGUAGUAUUAUAAGGAACCUCCAUACUGUUCUCCAUAGUGGCUGUACCAAUUCACAUUCCCACCAGCAGUGCAAGUGUUUCCUUUUCUCCACACCCUCUCCAGCAUUUAUUGUUUCUACAUUUUUUGAUGAUGGCCAUUCUGACUGGUUUGAGAUGAUAUCUCAUUGUACUUUUGAUUUGCAUUUCUCUAAUGAUUAAUGAUGUUGAGCAUUCUUUCAUGUGUUUGUUGGCAAUCUGUAUAACUUCUUUGGAGGAAUGUCUACUUAGUUCUUCUGCCCAUUUUGAAUUGGGUUGUUUGUUUUUUUGUUAUUGAGGUGCAUGAGCUGCUUGUAAAUUUUGAAGAUGAAUCCUUUGUCAGUUGCUUCAUUUGCAAAUACGUUCUCCCAUUCUGAGGGCUGUCUUUUGGUCUUGUUUAUGCUUUCCUUUGCUGUGCAAAAGCUUUGAAGUUUCAUUAGGUCCCAUUUGUUUAUUUUUAUUUCCAUUACUCUAGGAAGUGGGUCAAAAAGGAUCUUGCUGUGACUUAUGUCAUAGAGUGUUCUGCCUAUGUUUUCCUCUAAGAGUUUGAUAGUUUCUGGCCUUACAUUUAGGUCUUUCAUCCAUUUUGAGUUUAUUUUUGUGUAUGGUGUUAGGGAAUGAUCUCAUCUCAUACUUUUACAUGUAUCUGUCCAGUUUUCCCAGCACCACUUAUUGAAGAGGCUGUCCUUUCUCCACUGUACAUUCCUGCCUCCUUUAUCAAAGAUAAGGUGACCAUAUGUGCGUGGGUUUAUCUCUGGGCUUUCUAUCCUGUUCCAUUGAUCUGUAUUUCUGUUUUUGUGCCAGUACCAUACUGUCUUGAUUACUGUACCUUUGUACUAUAGUCUGAAGUCAGGGAGCCUGAUUCCUCCAGCUCCAUUUUUCGUUCUCACGAUUGCCUUGGCUAUUUGGAGUCUUUUGUGUUUCCAUACAAAUUGUGCAAUUUUUUGUUCUCAUCCUGUGAAAAAUGCCAGUGGUAGUUUGAUAGGGAUUGCAUUGAAUCUGUAGAUCGCUUUGGGUAGUAGAGUCAUUUUCACACUGUUGAUUCUUCCAAUCCAAGAACAUGGUAUAUCUCUCCAUCUAUUUGUAUCAUCUUUAAUUUCUUUCAUUGGUGUCUUAUAAUUUUCUGCAUACAGGUCUUUUGUCUCCUUAGGUAGGUUUAUUCCUAGAUAUUUUAUCCUUUUUGUUGCAGUGGUAAAUGUGAGUGUUUUCUUGAUUUCACUUUCAGAUUUCUCAUCAUUAGAGUAUGUAAUGCCAGAGAUUUCUGUGCAUUAAUUUUGUAUCCUGCUACUUUACCAAAUUCAUUGAUUAGCUCUAGUAGUUUUCUGGUAGCAUGUUUAGGAUUCUCUACGUAUAGUAUCAUGUAAUCUGCAAACAGUGAAAGCUUUACUUCUUCUUUUCCGAUUUGGAUUCCUUUUAUUUCCUUUUCUUCUCUGAUUGCUGUGGCUAAAACUUCCAAAACUGUGUUGAAUAAGAGUGCUGAGAGUGGGCAGCCUUGUCUUGUUCCUGAUAUUAGUGGAAAUGCUUUCAGUUUUUCACCAAUGAGAACAGUGUUGGCUGUGGUUUGUCAUAUAUGGCCUUUAUUAUGUUGAGGAAAGUUCCUUCUAUGCCUACUUUCUGCAGAGUUUUUAUCAUAAAUGGGUGUUGAAUUUUGUCGAAAGCUUUCUCUGCAUCUAUUGAGAUGACCAUAUGGUUUUUCUCCCUCAAUUUGUUAAUAUGGUGUAUCACGUUGAUUGAUUUGCAUAUAUUGAAGAAUCCUUGCAUUCCUGGAAUAAACCCCACUGAUCAUGGUGUAUGAUCCUUUUAAUGUGCUGUUGGAUUCUGUUUGGUAGUAUUUUGUUGAGGAUUUUUGCAUCUAUGUUCAUCAGUGAUAUUGGCCUCUAGUUUUCUUUCUUUGUGACAUCCUUUCCUGGUUUUGGUAUCAGGGUGAUGGUGGCCUCGUAGAAUAAGUUUGGGAGUGUUCCUCCCUCUGCUAUAUUUUGGAAGAGUCUGAGAAGGAUAGAUGUUAGCUCUUCACUAAAUGUUUGAUAGAAUUCACCUGUGAAGCCAUCUGGUCCUGGGCUUUUGUUUGUUGGAAGAUUUUUUUUUUUUUUGCGGUACCCGGGCCUCUCACUGCUGUGGCCUCUCCCAUCAUGGAGCACAGGCUCUGGACACGCAGGCUCAGCGGCCAUGGCUCAUGGGCCCACGCUCCGCGGCAUGUGGGAUCUUCCCGGACCGGGGCACGAACCCGUGUCCCGUGCAUCGGCAGGCAGACUCUCAACUGCUGCACCACCAGGGAAGCCCCUGUUGGAAGAUUUUUAAUCACAGUUUCAAUUCCAGUGCUUGUGAUUGGUCUGUUUAUAUUUUCUAUAUCUUCCUGAUUCAGUCUUGGCAGGUUGUACAUUUCUAAGAAUUUGUCCAUUUCUUCCAGGUUGUCCAUUUUAUUGCCAUAGAGUUGCUUGUAGUAAUCUCUCAUGAUCUUUUGUAUUUCUCCAGUGUCAGUUGUUACUUCUCCGUUUUCAUUUCUAAUUCUAUUGAUCUGAGUCUUUUCCCUUUUUUUCUUGAUGAGUCUGGCUAAUGGUUUAUUAAUUUUGUUUAUCUUCUCAAAGAACAGCUUUUAGUUUUAUUGAUCUUGGCUAUUGUUUCCUUCAUUUAUUUUUCAUUUAUUUCUCAUAUGAUUUUUAUGAUUUCUUUCCUUCUGCUAACUUUGUUUUUUUUUUGUUGUUGUUCUUUCUCUAAUUGCUUUAGGUGCAAGCUUAUGUUGUUUAUUCGAGAUGUUUCCUGUUUCUUAAGGUAGGAUUGUAUCGCUAUAAACUUCCCUCUUAGAACUGCUUUUGCUGCAUCCCAUAGGUUUUGGGUUGUCGUGUCUCCAUUGUCAUUUGUUUCUAGGUAUUUUUUGAUUUCCUCUUUGAGUUCUUCAGUGAUCACUUCGUUAUUAAGUAGUGUAUUGUUUAGCUUCCAUGUGUUUGUAUUUUUUACAGAUCCUUUUCUGUAAUAUAUAGCCUCAUAGCAUUGUGGUUGGAAAAGAUACCUGAUACAAUUUCAGUUUUCUUAAAUUUACCAAGGCUUGAUUUGUGACCCAAGAUAUGAUCUGUCCUGGAGAAUGAUCCAUGAGCACUUGAGAAAAAUGUGUAUUCUGUUCUUUUUGGAUGGAAUGUCCUAUAAAUUAAGUGCAUCUUUUUUAAUGUAUCAUUUAAAGCUUGUGUUUCCUUAUUUAUUUUCAUUUUGGAUGAUCUGUCCAUUGGUGAAAGUGGGCUUGUUAAAGUCCCCUACUAUGAAUGUGUUACUCUUGAUUUCCCUUUUUUUUUUACUUUAUUAUUAUUAUUUUUGGUUUCCCCUUUUAUGGCUGUUACUAUUUGCCUUAUGUAUUGAGGUGCUGCUAUGUUGGGUGCAUAAAUAUUUACAAUUGUUAUAUUUUCUUCUUGGAUCGAUCCCUUGAUCAUUAUAUAGUGUCCUUCUUUGUCUCUUCUAAUAGUCUUUAUUUUAAUGUCUAUUUUGUGUGAUAUGAGAAUUGCUACUCCAGCUUUCCUUUGGUUUCCAUUUGCAUGGAAUAUCUUUAUUCCAUCCCCUCACUUUCAGUCUGUAUGUGUCUCGAGGUCUGAAGUGGGUCUCUCGUAGACAGUAUAUAUAUGGGUCUUGUUUUUAUGUCCAUUCUAUAUAUCUAUAUAGCUAGUCUGUGUCUUUUGGUGGGAGCAUUUAAUCCAUUUACAUUUAAGGUAAUUAUCGAUAUGUAUGUUCCUCUUCCCAUUUUCUUAAUUGUUUAUUAAUUGUUAUUAUAGUUGAUUUCCUACUCUUGUGUUUCUUGCCUAGAGAAGAUCCUUUAACAUUUGUUGUAAAGCUGGUUUGGUGGUGCUGAACUCUCUUAGCUUUUGCUUGUCUGUAAAGGUCCAUGCUUUUAGCCGCGGCUUGCACCCCUCUCUGGGGUCUGCGUUUUUAGCCGCAGCUCGCGCCCGUCUCUGGGGUCCGCGUUUUUAGCCGCGGCUCGCGCCCAUCUCUGGAGUACCUUUAAGCAGCGCUCUUAAACCCCUCUCCUCGCGCACCAGGAAACAAAUAGGGAAGAAAAAGUCUCUUGCGUCUUCGGCAGCUCCAGACCUUCUCCCAGACUCCCUCCCUGCUAGCCGUGGUGCGCUAACCCCUUCAGGCUGUGUUCACGCCACCAAUCCUCUCCCUGCGCUCCCACCGAAGCCCGACCCUCAGCUCCCAGCCCCGCCCGCCCCGGCUGGUGAGCAGACAAGGCUGGUGAGUGCUGGUCGGCACUGAUCUUAUUUGCGGAAAUCUCUCUGCUUUGCCCUCUACACCCCUGUUGCUGUGGUCUCCUCCGUGGCCCCGAAGCUCCCCCCCUCCACUACCUGCAGCCUCUGCCCACGAAGGGCCUUCUAGUGUGUGGAAACCUUUCCUCCUUCACGGCUCCCUCCCACUGGUGCAGGUCCCGUCCCUGUUCUUUUGUCUCUGUUUAAUCUUUUUUCUUUUGCCCUACCCAGGUACAUGGGGAGUUUCUUGACUUUUGGGAGGUCUGAGGUCUUCUGCUAGCAUUCAGUAGGUGUUUUUUGGGUGUUCCACGUGUAAAUGUAUUUCUGAUGUAUCUCGACCUUUCUUUUCCAGCCUUCUCUUUGGAUUCAUGGUGCAUGUGUCUCUAUUCAUUUCUGGAGGCUGAAAGUCCAAGAUCCAGGUGUGGGCAGGACUAGUUUCAUUCUGAGGCCCCUCUCCUUGGCUUGCAGAUGGCUGCCUUCCCCCUGUGUCCUCAUAUGAUCAUCCCUCUGUGUCAGCUCUGUUCUUCUCCAGAUUGUUUCAGCUAUUUGGGUUUGUUUGUUUUUCCGUACAAAUUUUAAAAUUAUUCUAGUUUUGUGAAAAAUGCCAUUGGUAGUUUGAUAGGGAUUGCAUUGUAUCUGCUGAUUGUCUUGGGUAUUAUGGUCAUUUUAACAAUAUUAAUUCUUCCAAUCCAAGAAUAAAGUAUAACUUUCCAUCUUUUACAGUAUGCAGGUAAAGCUCUUUCAGGGAACAAUUGGGAGACGGGUAAUUUUGCUUUCUCCUUCUCACUGAGCCUAGGGGAUAGCCAGCUAGGAAUUGCUCCUUUGUUUUCUAUGGUCCUGUGGAACUUGUGAAUGGAACCCCCUUUAACUAUAAGACUGAUGGUCUGCUGACCCAUUUCUCGGGCAGAAGCUAUGAAAUCUUGGGUGUAGGCAUGUGUACAAGGCCAUUCCAGGGAGAUACUAGGAAAUUAGAGCCAUCUGGAGUGGGGAGGAGUGGUGUCCACUUCCCCAUUCUCUGGGGAGGAUCACAGCCAGCCCCUAGUGCCUGCUAAGUUAGAAGACUGGCCUUUAGGCGGCAGCUUUUAAAGUAUGCAGAUACUCUUUCAGGGGAAAACUGUGAGGUGUACAAUUUUGCCUGUUCCCUCUAUGCUGAUUGCUGGAAUGAUAGCCUUGGUGAGUGCUUACAUGCUUAUUAAGAAUUGUUUCUUUUUUUGCUAUACUGUUGUAAGUCUUGUGGAUACAAGCUCCAUUGGUUUUUAGAGCAAGGGAUUUUGUGAGCUUGUCCCUCUAGUGGGUCUUAGCAGUUGGUGUGCUAGAUAUGGAGUCCAAGCCCUUUGGUUUUCAGGGAGAAGCUAGAAGUUGAGACUUCUCUCCUGAUUGUAAGGCACUGUGUUGUGGGUGGAGUUGAUGCCAAGAGUGUGGAAAGAACAGCCUUUCCUACCUGUUUUGAUGUGCGUAUUUUCUCAUUUGUCCUACUUGUAGGAGUUGUUCAGCUAGUUUCUGGGUCCCUUUCAGAGUAAAUUGCUCCAUGUGUAGCUGUACAUUUGGUGUGUCUGUAUGAGGAGGGGAGCUCCUUCGUCACCAUCUUGUUGACUCCCAAUUCCUAAAGUUUUGUAUCUUGCUUUUCAGUCAAAAUAUUUCCCUUUGCUCUAAUACUGUUUUUUGAAACUUGAAGUACUUUCUUUAAUAAGAAUUUAAUCUUCCAAAUUUUCUUAGAUUUGGGUAGGAUGCCCCAUGUUAAUGAGAGUAAAAAUAUUUUUUCCUGUCAAAACUUCCUGAAGUGUGGGAACAAUAUUCUAGGGUUGCAUUUCAAUCUUGUGCUGACUUACUCUUGCAAGUAAGGAUUGCUUAACUCUAAAACUGAACUAAGUUAAGAUCAUACAAUUAUGAAAAAUCAGAGAAACUUUUAUUAGCUACACAAAUUUUGUUAGCUAUACAAAUAUAUAAGUCCUUCAUUGUUUCCUUUUAUUCUUCAAAGAUAUUUUAUGGUGUGGAUUUCUAAUUUUCAUUAUGAUCAGUGAAUAUAUUCUAUGUUAUUUGAGGGAUUUUUAAAGAUUUUGGCCUGGUAUAUGGUUUAUCUUGGUGAAUAUGCCAUAGACACUUAAAAUGUGCAUUCAUUCUAAAGUUGUUGGCUAUAGUGUUUUAUAAAUGCCCAUUAGGUUUAAAUGGUUAAUAUAUAUUGUUCAUAUCUUCUAUGAUUGAUAUUGUGUUUUGGUCUAUAAAUUACUGAAAAAGUAGAGUUUAAAGUCACCAACUAUGAUUGUGGAUUUGUCUGUUACUCCCCUUAUUUCUGUCAGUUUCAUUUCAUGUAAUCUGAAACUUUGUUAUUAGUCAUAUAAAUUUUUAUGAUGAUUAUGUCUCCCGUAUAAAUUGACCCUCUUAUAUUAUGAAAUGUCUCUAUCUCUGGUAAUACAUUAACUUGAAGUUUACUGUAUCAGAAAUUAAUAUAACUACUCUAGGUUUCAUAUGCUUUCUGUUAGUAUGGUGUAUCUUUUCAUCUUUUCUUCCUUUUAACCUAUAUCUUUAUGUAUAAAAUACUGUCAUUAGAUGGCAUAUAGUUGGGUUAUGUUUAACUGUUAACAGUUGGAGUGUUUAUUCAAUGUUCACCUAAUAUAAUUAUUGAAAAAGCGGAUUUAAGUCCACCUCUUUUAUUGUUUUUUUCUUUGUAAGUGUGUACUCCUUAUCAGUGUCUAUCUUCUGUUUUUUGUUCUUCCCUUCUUCUCUGUCUUGCUUUUGAUUGUUUCAUUUUUUUUUUCCAGAAUUCCAUUUUCCUUUACUUUUUUUUUUUUUUUUGCAGUACGCGGGCCUCUCACCACUGUGGCCUCUCCCGUUGUGGAGCACAGGCUCUGGACGCGCAGGCUCAGUGGCCAUGGUUCAUGGGCCCAGCCGCUCUGUGGCAUGUGGGAUCUUCCCGGACAGGGGCACGAACCCGUGUCCCUUGCAUCAGCAGGCGCACUCUCAACCACUGCGCCACCAGGGAAGCCCUCCUUUAAUUUUUUAACUCUACCUUUUUGUAGUUUUUUAGUGGUUUUCUAGUGAUUGCAAUAUGCAUGUUUAGUUAUUUCACUCUUUAAGACCAUUAAAUCACUUCACAUAAACAGAAGAAUCUUGGAAACAUAUAUACCUAUUUACUUAGUCUCUGCCCCCUGUUAUGCUAGAGGUGUCAUAUAUAUUAUAUCUAUAUCUACUCUAAACCAUAUAGCCAAUGGAAUAAUUGUUUUAAAUAGGUAUAUUUAUUUUUAAGAAUUUAAGAGGGAAAAUAUUUCAUAAUUACCCACAUAUUAACCAGUUUUAAAGCUUUUCAUUCUAUUCGGAAGACCCAUGUUUCCUUCUGUUAUCAUUAUUUAUCUUCCCAAAGAGGUUUCUUUAGCACCAGUUGUACUGGUGAUAAUUUUUCUUCGUUUUCUUUUAUCUGACAGUGUCUUUUUUUUAGUCCUCUUUAUUGAGGAAUAUAGUUACUGAAUAUAGAAUUAUUAACAUUUUCCCCUAGUACUUUAAAGAUAAUAUUCCAUGGUUUUCUCUGCUUCAUUGAAAUAAAAUCCAUUUUAUUAGUUGGUAUAGAAAAUAGUUGAAGCAAAAGUUUAGGCUAGCAAAGCAGGAUGUGAUAGAUACUUUGUUAUGAAGAGUUCUUAACUAAACAGUUUGUUUUUAUGUGUUGCUCUCUGUGUCUCUUGACAGUUUUGAAAAAUGAGCUCCCUUUGACAGGGAGUUGGUUUUAUUUAUAUUCUUGUCUUACCCAGAAAGUCAUACAGAAAAUAAUCAUUCCACACUUUUAAAUGGCUAGUUUUGCUUUCAUGGUAUUUACAAUAAAAUAAUAAGUUAGUUAGAGAGUAAAUGGAUGACUCUGUUAAAGAGAAAAAGCAAGGUAAAAAGAUAGGAGUGAAUUGAUGUUAGAAAUAUUUCAUUUAAUUAAUUGAUAAUAUUACCAUUUGGUCAAGGCAUAGAAAUACGGAAUAGUUUGUGAAUUGUGCUGUGAUGUAAACAUUUGGUAUGAGUUCUCUUAAAACAGAAUUGAUCCAUCUCUUGAAAUAACUCUCUUUAUUGAAGAUAAGUGGAACAUGGGUACGUCACAACCUCUGAAUUUAGGGAGGAUGAAAUUAACCUUUGAAUUGUAUGUGUUUGAUUUGAAUGGCAUUUUUUUUUGCUUUCACAUGAUUCCCACAUGUGAACUUCCAUGACAAUCAUACAGGAAAGAGGAAGCUGUUGUAGUUUUUGCAAUGUACAUUGUCACCAAAACAUACUACCAUCCUUGAUCUUAUGAGAAAUUUAGAAAUAAUAUUCCAAUAGACAUAUAAGAUAAAUAAGUUUCUGUGGAAGCAGAAGUGCUCAGUUUUGAGAAGCACUUUGGUGUUGUAAUGUCUUAUGUUAAUGAUUCUCAAAUUCUGCCCCAUUCUACUUUAUCAUCUAUCUGUCUGUCUAUCACUUUAUCUUCUGUAUUUAUCUGUAUAUCUCUACCUAUCAUCUGCCUAUUAACUUAAUAGAUAAGUUAUCAUUCAAGUUCAGUCACCCAUCUUAUAAACGAUCUUUUGUGUAUCAUCAAUUUAUCUAUCUCUCCAUCCAUGCCUUUAUUAGGUAUAAUAGGCAGAAGAGCAUGGCAAUAGAAAAACAAGGGGUUUACCUCCCAUGUGAAAGGACAGUGAUAACAGUGGUCUCUGAAGUGAUGAUGUAUAAGGAGAAAACAAGAAGAGAACAUGAGGACUGAGGACCAGUAACUCAGGGACCCAUCUAGCAGGAACUCUGGACUUACUACUAUGCUCACAUUUGAAAAAUCAAAAUAGAGUUGCCUAUAUUCUGUGUCAGCUUACGUGAGAAAAUUUCAUCUAAAUAUGACAGCUCUGCCUUUUCAGUCCACCUAUGCUUCCAUAUUUUAAAACUCAGUUUUAAUUACAUGGAGCUAUCACCUCAGUUUACUUUAAACUAGACCAUGGAUUGGUAAACCUUUUCUGUAAAAGGCCAAAUAACAAAUGAUUUCAGCUUUUUAGGAUUUAUGAACUCUGUUACAGCUAAUUACUCUUCUAUUGUAGUGUGAAAGCAGCUGAACACAAUGUGCCAUUGAAUGAGUGUGGCUGUGUUCCAGUAAUACUUUAUUUACAACAGCAGGCUGUGGGCUUGAGUACCAUAUGCUGAACUAGAGCAUUGGUUAAAUCCGAACCUGGAAAAUAAUCGGAUGAACCCCACUACAUGGGGAAAUGGACCUACAUAAGAUAUGCACAGUUGGGGCUCUGUAACGUUGAGAAUACUGAAGGAGGAAGAUAAGUACAGAAGGAAAAACCAGUCAUAUAUGGGUAAGGCUGCAUCUGUCAAAGAGGACUGCUGGACACUGAGCUGUUCACCCUUUGGUUUUGACUGGUACAAUUUGGGGAUGUUUGGACCUGGUAAAUCUCUUUAAGGAUGAUAAAACUGAUUAAUGAUGUUAAGAUGUUUAUAAUAUUAUUAAACUAAUAUGUGAAUCGGGCUUCCCUGGUGGCGCAGUGGUUGAGAGUCCGCCUGCCGAUGCAGGGGACACGGGUUCGUGCCCCGGUCUGGGAAGAUCCCACAUGCCGUGGAGCGGCUAGGCCCGUGAGCCAUGGCCGCUGGGCCUGCACGUCCGGAGCCUGUGCUCCGCAACGGGAGAGGCCACAGCAGUGAGAGGCCCACGUACAGCAAAAAAAAAAAAAAAGGUUAAAAAAAAAAACAAACUAAUAU
Orcinus orca (killer whale) is the source of this 10453-nucleotide long non-coding RNA. RefSeq lists it as uncharacterized. The transcript is spliced from 2 exons. The record is from RefSeq and is a predicted model, not a curated record. Lineage: Eukaryota; Metazoa; Chordata; Mammalia; Artiodactyla; Delphinidae.